This 36-nucleotide small RNA is filed under the name Arabidopsis thaliana (thale cress). RNAcentral describes it as "ATSL240540". The record is from RNAcentral. Lineage: Eukaryota; Viridiplantae; Streptophyta; Magnoliopsida; Brassicales; Brassicaceae.
AGAAAGAAUUCCUGUGUCCUGUAUGCCGCCGACUAG